UCGGUUCUUCAGCACGCGUGAUCUCAUAACGUUUUUUGCUGCUAGUGUGCUUGACAACUUUUGGUUCUCUGUUCCGCCUCGUGAAAAGAGGAAAGCCGCAAGCGAAGCGCAGGCGCACACGCGAGUUCCGUUCGAGGUGCAGUUUCUCGCGCCUUGGUUGCACCUACGGCGCCACAUCAAGAACAGCAGCGGUUCGGCAUCUGCACAGCUACAUACAAGCGCAUACGUGAUCGACAAGGAAGCCGUCUGCGAAAGGCGGCAAGAGGAAGUACGAAUAUCAGUGCCGCCCCCUGCACAAUGUCCUCGUCCAACGCAUCAGACUCGCCUAUGCUAGGCGGUAGGCUCCAAGGCGCGAGCGACACGAACUUUGAUCCACCAGCGUCUAUGAGCAUCGAGGAGACGCCGUCCUUCUCCUCUGCACACCUGGAGUGCGAGCAUAUGAGGCAGUUACAUACGCCGGGCAUCUCUGCGGCCACGUCCGGGCAACGCCGAGGUGGCCACGGCGGCAGCGUCAGUUGCGACAGCUGCAGUGACCUCUACAGCGAAGGCGAAAGCGAGGAUAGCGACCUCUUGGAACGCCCCGGUAACACGGCACUACCCGCGUUCCAGCAUAACCGUCAUCGACUCGGUGCACAUGAAAACAGAAGCGCUCUCCGUGCUCCCCAGUCUCCUCAGGCCAUCCAAUCAGAGAAGCGAGGCGGCAGCGACAGCAGUAGAUUUGGCGCAAAAAGAACAACAUGCUCACUCGGCAGCAUCCCCGUGUCUUACUUCAGCAGCUCCAACGUGAAAUCAUUUGCCUUUCGCGACGAAAUCGGGUGCCACGUGCAGCAUCUGCGCAAUUUCUACAAGAUGAUCGAGGAUGACCGUCUGCCAUGGAUGACGGACUUCGCUGACAUUCACAAGAUGGAGCUGCCGCGCAAGGCGAAGGAGAUUGCGUGGCGGCUCAACCUGAACAUCCCAUACUACUCUUCAAACUACAUUGAAAUCUUCUACGUAGUCACGAUGCCGCUUCUUUUUGUGUGCAACACGCCCUUCUUCGUUGUAACCUUUCUAGCCAUCGUGAUAAUCCACUCCAUCCGAAUGCACAAGAAGAAAACGCACGAGUACGGCGAUAGCGUGGUGGUGUUGGGUCAACAGAUCAGAUACCGCCAGCUGGGCCACCUGCUCGUGUUCGCCUUUGUCAUGCUCUUGAUGUUCUUCAACGGAUUGCGCACGCUGCUGUGGGUGCUCCUGCUGAACGUCUGCAUCAUUGUUCCCCAUGCACUAAUGCGAAAGCCCACGUACUUCGACGACGAGGACCUCGAGAAGUGCCGGCCAAAGAUGGUGCAGUACGCGAUUUGCCUGGUUAUUCUGGUGCUCGCCUACCUGGAAGGCGACCUGUGCGCCGACGAGGCGGCAGAAAGCCGGCGCGCCGUGGAGCGGGAGCGAAAGCGGGUGGCACAGGCUAUGGCGAAGCGCUAGGCAAAGGAUUAACGCUGACGGUUGAGAUAUUUUUCCGGGCGACAACAGCAGUGGAUCGAGAUGGCGCGGGGAAAAAAGCUACUUGCCGUCUUCACACGCUACAGUGGCGCUGUGCUCUGAUGGCAAGAAUGAGGCGCCCCCCGCUGCAGCGUUUCCUUUCUCUUUCUGCAAGUGUGCGCGCCAUGGACUGCCGGUGCUGACGGCGUUUUGUUUUUGUUUUCUGCGCUAGUACUCGUGCCUUUACGUUUGCCCUAUAGUGUGGAUGGCAUCCAUUUGAGUGCUUCGUCUCUGUCCUUCCCUUUGCAGCCGUGUCUCCUCCCCACGGCGCGUGCGUUUUGUACGUGUACGUGUGUUGCACCGACCGACACAGCCACUGCCGUGUGCGCCUGUCCUCGCGUGAAGGAGGAAUGGAGGCAGGUGAGAAGGCGGCGGAUACAUGAAUGAGUAAAUGGAGGAAACGCAAAGAAAGAGCUGUGUGGCUGGAGAUGGACGACUGCGAUGCAACUCCAUCGGCGCAUGCUGCUCACGCUCUUCCCUUCGACUGUACGCUUUUGUGCCCUGGAAGUGUUCUACAAAGGCCAUGGCGACUGUAAACGAGGAUAGGUGGGCUCGUGCGUGCAUUCUUCCUCGACAGUGCUCUUUUUCUUUUUUUUGUUCGCACCUCGAUUCCUCCCUUUCCGCGGCGAUUGUCAAGCUCUGCUUUUAGCCUCUCUCUCCUUCCUCUUAGAUAAUGAUGUGGCCGUAAAUUUUUUCUGUGCUCUGUGUAUGCGUGAGGGUGCACGAGCCCAUCGUAGAUGAGGGUGAAGGGAGACGGCAGCCAACGUUAAGGGCUGCAGUCCUAUUACGCUCAGCUGUGUUUGUGUCUACCCAAGACUGUGACGCGCGCACACACAAGCAACAACUGCCGUAGGUGCAUGAAUAUACUGUGUAAUAGUCAUCGCCUCCGUUCCCAUCUUCCCUUCCGUAUUUCCCUUCUUAG
This 2440-nucleotide unclassified non-coding RNA is filed under the name Leishmania donovani. Its description in RNAcentral is "gene:LdHU3.33.2430(CDS-product:PRA1_family_protei n_putative)". Lineage: Eukaryota; Euglenozoa; Kinetoplastea; Trypanosomatida; Trypanosomatidae. The record is from RNAcentral.